CGAGCACGCGCGUGUGGCAUAUCAAUAAGCGGAGGAAAAGAAACUAACAAGGAUUCCCUUAGUAACGGCGAGUGAAGCGGGAAGAGCUCAAAUUUGAAAUCUUCAAGGUUCUACCUUGACGAAUUGUAGUUUAUAGAAGUGUUUUCUGUUAGUGGAGUGGCAAAAGUUCUUUGGAAUAGGACAUCAUAGAGGGUGAGAAUCCCGUAUUUGGUCAUUCCUCCUAGCGUUGUGAUACACUUUCAACGAGUCGGAUUGUUUGGGAAUGCAGUCCAAAAUGGGUGGUAAAUUUCAUCUAAAGCUAAAUAUUGGCGAGAGACCGAUAGCGAACAAGUACCGUGAGGGAAAGAUGAAAAGAACUUUGAAAAGAGAGUUACACAGUACGUGAAAUUGUCAAAAGGGAAGCGUUUGACACCAGUGUUGUUUUUCCGAAAAUCAAUUACGAAUGUUUUAGUUUUUGAGGAGUUAUGACUUCAUCGGCUUGCUCCUUUCUUUACUGAAACUUUCUUAAUGCACUUUUCGGUUAACAAGUCAACAUCAAUUUCUUUUGUUGUAAAAGGGUAUGAGGAAGGUGGCUUUCUUUUCGGAGAAAGUGUUUAUAGCCUUGUACCUCUGCAAUCGGAGAGAUUGAGGUCUGCAGCGUAGAUCCUUCGGGGUUAGAUACAUUUGUGCUAAGUUAUAGCUUUUCAUAGACAACUUGUUGACUAUGUUUAGUCUUGUAGCUUACUCGCUGACGCUAUUUUACCUACGCUUAGGAUGUUGAUGUGAUACUGCGAGCA
Molecule: ribosomal RNA, 776 nt
Filed under: uncultured Neocallimastigales
Lineage: Eukaryota; Fungi; Neocallimastigomycota; Neocallimastigomycetes; Neocallimastigales
Description: partial large subunit ribosomal RNA
Rfam family: Eukaryotic large subunit ribosomal RNA
Source: RNAcentral